UUAUUUAUUAUUUAUACACAGACACAUAUUUAUGAAAGUUCUUUUACGACUUACACCAUCAGCUCAGUUAAGAAAAAAAACACGCAUACGUAUACAAAACGAUGACAAAUUUUUUUCACGGGCUGCCUUACUGAGGGUGCCUAUAUUUUGAGAGCCAGUACAAUUGACAUUGCUCUGCUUAUUUCAUUAGAAAUUCUUUUGAAUAUAAAAGCAAAAUACACAAUAUAUUUUUCAAAGCAAGAAAAAGAAAAAAAAAAUAUAAUGAAAUAAAAUAAAAUUUGAAGAAAAUAUGCUGAGAAAGCUUAAAAAAUCAUUGCCCUGGCUUUAACUACCGGAAAUUCCUUUGUGCUGCUGGUGCUGAUUUGGAGGCGACCACGCCCUAUCGCAAGACAUGCCGCCCACUUUUGAGCCAGCAAUUCGACUCCACCGUCGCACUCACGCCCGCACAAUUUUUCGCUGUUGACAAUUUUGGCGGUUGUUGUGGCAACACGUGACUUGCAAGCCAAGCGAGAAUGGCGGAGGAGAGUAAGAGAAGCCGCCAGAGAAAUGGCGGAGACUGAGAUGGCGGAGGGAAAAGUAACUGGGAAUGCGAAAGAAUGUUUCUUCUUUUCAGGAGAUACUUUAAACUGGUUGUCGCACUCAACUCACGCCCUUGACCCACCCCACCGAUCACAUUGAAAUCAGUUUCAAAAUAAUUCGCUGUUGAAAUUCAAUUUGUUAUUUCCACUUGCCAAUCUCUUCCUUUCUCUGUUCAUCUCAAUCUCCCUUUUCUCUCUGUCUCCCUCCAUAUUGGGUGUCGCAUUAAUGCUUCAAUAGCUUAAUUGGCAGAAACAUUUUUAUUUAGAGAGAAAAGAAGUAAAUUAUGUCAUUAGAGCUCAAUUUGCUCAUUAAUGCGGACCCGGUAGCGAAAAGAAAGAAUCUCGUCAACCUUGCAGGAUGAGAUUUCGAAUUCGAGUGCUCCGGGCACACAUGUCGAAUGCGCAAUUGUCCUGAGUGGCCACUUGGGAAAAUUGUGGCAACUGAACUGAAGAGAGCCAAGACAAGGAGUAAAGGGAGCUAGUUUAGCAAUUCAUUCAUCCUUGAGAUGAAAGGAUUUUAAACUUAGCUGAAGCAGUUCAAGGACUACCGGCGACUCUGAUAUCAGCAAUUUAGUUUUCCUAGGAUUUAAUUCGCAUAGAUUUUAUACUUUCAUGAAAAAAACUUCUUAUAAAUUGUAGCAUUAUAAACAUAUUACUUGUGCUUGAACUCUGGAUUUGGGAACAAUUUUUCAUCAUCACCUGCUGCGAUAUAGCCUGUAGAAGGAUAUGGAACACACGCGCCACCUUCAUCAGUAAUAUUUAUUUCAACUUUAUCAUCAAGGACACCAUUGGUUGUGUCUAGACGGGCCUUAGACCGUUGCUGCCUUUGGCUUCGUUUAUUUUUUCAUCGAAACAUUUGCAUUUUCAAAGUCAGGGAGAAUCCGUUUCCAUUGAAGUUUUGCUGGGCUAAGCAAAUCAAAUGAAGUUAUAAGCGUUUCACUAACAAAUUGAGCAAACACUUGACGGCUAGCUUUAUUAGAGAAAUGGAAGCCAGUCUCGAUGUGCGCAUAAUUUAUGGUUGCGAUUGUCUGCCUCCCUUCUUUGGGACAUAGCAGAUAACGAGGCACGUCAAUGUUCGCUAAUAAACUCAAGAAGGAUUAAUUUCGUGAUUUAUGAUAUGCAAUAGAGUAAGAAAGAAGGAAGGAUGACCGACCGUAUAAGCUUAAUAAGCUUUGACUGGCUGACAUAAAAUCCCUAGCAUACUUUUCAGCUGUGGCAGGUAUUACCGGCAUUUGUUAAUUAAUUUCGCAGAAUCAAGUGAAAUAGAUACUCGUAUUCUGAAGGUUUAAAUAUACAACCUUCAUUUUUUUUAAACCAAUUUCAU
Long non-coding RNA from Drosophila ananassae, 1902 nucleotides. RefSeq lists it as uncharacterized. The record is from RefSeq and is a predicted model, not a curated record. The transcript is spliced from 3 exons. NCBI's taxonomy places the organism in Eukaryota, Metazoa, Arthropoda, Insecta, Diptera, Drosophilidae.